Molecule: ribosomal RNA, 253 nt
Filed under: uncultured bacterium
Lineage: Bacteria
Description: partial 16S ribosomal RNA
Rfam family: Bacterial small subunit ribosomal RNA
Source: RNAcentral
UACAGAGGGUGCGAGCGUUGUUCGGAAUUACUGGGCGUAAAGGGCGCGUAGGCGGUCCCUCAAGUCAGGCGUGAAAGCCCCGGGCUCAACCUGGGAACCGCGCUUGAGACUGAUGGGCUAGAGUUCGGGAGAGGAUGGUGGAAUUCCCAGUGUAGAGGUGAAAUUCGUAGAUAUUGGGAAGAACACCGAUGGCGAAGGCAGCCAUCUGGACCGACACUGACGCUGAGGCGCGAAAGCGUGGGGAGCAAACAGG